Spea bombifrons (plains spadefoot toad) is the source of this 223-nucleotide long non-coding RNA. RefSeq lists it as uncharacterized. The record is from RefSeq and is a predicted model, not a curated record. The transcript has 2 exons. NCBI's taxonomy places the organism in Eukaryota, Metazoa, Chordata, Amphibia, Anura, Pelobatidae.
GGCUCAGGCUCAGAAGGUAGCUGCCUAGCUGGAGGCAGAAGUCGUGGCGGUCCUGGUGGCUUCUCUGAAGUAAGGAGCUGCAAUGCCAAAGUACAUUUUGAAUAUUUAGCCUCUGCCACAGACAAUGCCACCUGCAUGGUAUUUUGUAUUUUAAAAAGCUCCUAUGAACAUAAUCGCCUGUUAAUUGUUGCUUAGAGAAAUUAAAAAUGAAUUCCCUAACACA